UGGGGAAUUGUUCGCAAUGGGCGCAAGCCUGACGACGCAACGCCGCGUGGAGGAUGAAGGUCUUCGGAUUGUAAACUCCUGUUGCUCGGGACGAAAAGCUUCGACCUAAUACGCCGAAGUCUGACGGUACCGAGUGAGGAAGCCCCGGCUAACUCUGUGCCAGCAGCCGCGGUAAUACAGAGGGGGCAAGCGUUGUUCGGAAUUACUGGGCGUAAAGGGCGCGUAGGCGGCCUGCUAAGUCGAACGUGAAAUCCCUGGGCUCAACCCAGGAACUGCGUCCGAUACUGGUUGGCUUGAAUCCGGGAGAGGGAUGUGGAAUUCCAGGUGUAGCGGUGAAAUGCGUAGAUAUCUGGAGGAACACCGGUGGCGAAGGCGACAUCCUGGACCGGCAUUGACGCUGAGGCGCGAAAGCCAGGGGAGCAAACGGG
This 428-nucleotide ribosomal RNA is filed under the name Acidobacteriota bacterium. RNAcentral's name for it is "Acidobacteria bacterium partial 16S ribosomal RNA". It matches the Rfam family "Bacterial small subunit ribosomal RNA", at positions 355 to 776 of the family's 1533-position model. The record is from RNAcentral. Lineage: Bacteria; Pseudomonadati; Acidobacteriota.